UACGAAGGGGGCUAGCGUUGUUCGGAUUUACUGGGCGUAAAGCGCACGUAGGCGGAUAUUUAAGUCAGGGGUGAAAUCCCAGAGCUCAACUCUGGAACUGCCUUUGAUACUGGGUAUCUUGAGUAUGGAAGAGGUAAGUGGAAUUGCGAGUGUAGAGGUGAAAUUCGUAGAUAUUCGCAGGAACACCAGUGGCGAAGGCGGCUUACUGGUCCAUUACUGACGCUGAGGUGCGAAAGCGUGGGGAGCAAACAGG
RNAcentral lists this ribosomal RNA (253 nucleotides) under uncultured bacterium. RNAcentral describes it as "partial 16S ribosomal RNA". It matches the Rfam family "Bacterial small subunit ribosomal RNA", at positions 524 to 776 of the family's 1533-position model. The record is from RNAcentral.